Molecule: long non-coding RNA, 1676 nt
Organism: Amblyraja radiata (thorny skate)
Lineage: Eukaryota; Metazoa; Chordata; Chondrichthyes; Rajiformes; Rajidae
Exons: 2
Source: RefSeq, a predicted model, not a curated record
UCUCUUUCUCUCCUCCCACACACUCACUCACUCCUCCUGCUCUCCAUCUCUCACCUACCGCACUCUCUCCAUCCACCCCCGCUCUCUCUCCUCCCACUCUAAGUUGCUCCUCUCUAGUUUUUCCUCCUUCACGCUCCCUCCCUCGCUCCUCAGGGUCAGGAGGGAGCGUGGAUGGGACGAUGAGGGACGAUCCAUGUUCCAUCCUGUUCCUGAGAGUCGGAAUGCUGGGGCCCCACUCACCUCCCCAGGCAGCGGGAGAGCAGAGGAGGUCCCACGGCAGUGGGUGCCUGCGGUCCAGCCCUGGCCCCCCACACACAGUGAGCUCAAGUUGCCAUCCACCCAACCUCACAUUGCUUGCGCCAUCAAGACCAAUGUCAUCUCCUGAAACCCCUUCAAUGUUAAACAUUUGUAAUGUCACAAUUUCAUGUCAUCAACGUUGCCACCUAACAGAACAAUUCCUGUAUUCAAAUACAAAUUUAUAUCAAUCUGAAGAAGGGUCCCGACCUGAAACGUCAUCUGCCCGCUUCCCUCCACAGACGCUGACUGUCCCGCUGAGUUACUCCAGCAUUUUGUGUCUAUCUUCGAAUAAACCAGCAUCUGCAGUUCUUUGCUACACACCUUCCCAUUAUUAAUCACUUGCGGCUGAGGUUUACACUUGUUGCCCCAAUCUCCAGUCGACCAGGUUUUGCACUCGAGAAUAUCCAGGAUAGGAAAGAUGCCGCAGCCUUUGAAACAAGUUAGAAACUUGAAAUAUUAUUUAAACUUAACGAUAGAUUUAAAAAUAAAAAAUUUUGAAUGCGGUUUGAGGAUCAUUGGCUCGAAUUCAGAACCAAUUUCUGUUUUUUUUUUAAAACGCAUGUUUGUUUAAAUAAUUAAACUUUAUGAACUUAAGAAGAAGCAAAAAAAAAGUGGGGAUUCCUUUGCUGGCCUAUGAUAAAUGACCAUCGCAAGCCUUGAGUCUUCUGUGCAAUUUCAGCAAAGUACAUGUGUGCUAACCUUGUCCACCUGCCUUGCCUCUGUAACAAACAGCUGGAAACAUCUUUCCUGAUCCCCAUCAGGACGUGUCUCGAUCUCGAAACGUCGCCUGUCCUGUCCAUUCCCUGACCCGCUGAGUACCUCCAGAGUUUAGUGUUUGUUUCCUGAUUUGAUCUCAGAUUUCCAGCAUCUGCCGGUGUUUGAUGUCCCCCAUCCACCUGAGGGAAUAUUCAUUCUCAUUAUUAACUGAGCUAACAUGUACUGCUCUCUCUGUGGGGGUGACGGGAUGUUUCUCAGCUCUACAACUCAGAGCAAAGCAAGUUUGUGUGCGUACUCACAAUUCUCUGGCUCUCUGGUAGUAUUCUGGUGAACCUUACACCAUUUAUCUUUUGUACAAUGUAGUAAUUGGAAUAGUGCAGCGUGCAAUCCCACAAGGGCUUACUAUAGAAGUGGCAAACCUACACCUAUUUUAUAUUCUAAUACUUCAGGGCAUAUAUAAGGGCAAAAAUACAAAAAACAAAUGAUUAGCCUUUUUAAUUAUGUUGAUUAAACGACUGUUUCUUUUUAUAGAUAUUUAAUGGUUCCCUAAAUCUCUUGGAGUGCCAGUGUUCUCGACUAUUGUAUUCACCAACUUAAUAGCUGUCUACAUCCUAAACAUUCGUUCUGUGAUCUGUGACUCCUUAAAAUGGCUGUUGUCUUGA